RNAcentral lists this ribosomal RNA (429 nucleotides) under Bacillota bacterium. RNAcentral describes it as "Firmicutes bacterium partial 16S ribosomal RNA". It matches the Rfam family "Bacterial small subunit ribosomal RNA", at positions 355 to 776 of the family's 1533-position model. Lineage: Bacteria; Bacillati; Bacillota. The record is from RNAcentral.
UAGGGAAUCUUCGGCAAUGGACGGAAGUCUGACCGAGCAACGCCGCGUGAGUGAAGAAGGUUUUCGGAUCGUAAAGCUCUGUUGUUAGAGAAGAACGUUGGUAGGAGUGGAAAAUCUACCAAGUGACGGUAACUAACCAGAAAGGGACGGCUAACUACGUGCCAGCAGCCGCGGUAAUACGUAGGUCCCGAGCGUUGUCCGGAUUUAUUGGGCGUAAAGCGAGCGCAAGCGGGUCUUUAAGUCUGAAGUUAAAGGCAGUGGCUUAACCAUUGUACGCUUUGGAAACUGGAGGACUUGAGUGCAGAAGGGGAGAGUGGAAUUCCAUGUGUAGCGGUGAAAUGCGUAGAUAUAUGGAGGAACACCGGUGGCGAAAGCGGCUCUCUGGUCUGUAACUGACGCUGAGGCUCGAAAGCGUGGGGAGCAAACAGG